This 746-nucleotide ribosomal RNA is filed under the name uncultured Oribacterium sp. RNAcentral's name for it is "bacterial SSU rRNA". It matches the Rfam family "Bacterial small subunit ribosomal RNA", at positions 28 to 776 of the family's 1533-position model. Lineage: Bacteria; Bacillati; Bacillota; Clostridia; Lachnospirales; Lachnospiraceae. The record is from RNAcentral.
GAUGAACGCUGGCGGCGUGCCUAACACAUGCAAGUCGAACGAGAUGCGUAUUGGAAAGCUUCGGCCGGAAGAUACGUUAUCUAGUGGCGGACGGGUGAGUAACACGUGGGUAACCUGCCUUAUGGAGGGGGAUAACAGAGAGAAAUCACUGCUAAUACCGCAUAAGCACACAGUACCGCAUGGUACAGGGUGAAAAGAUUUAUCGCCAUAAGAUGGACCCGCGUCUGAUUAGCCAGUUGACAGGGUAAAAGCCUACCAAAGCAACGAUCAGUAGCCGAUCUGAGAGGAUGACCGGCCACAUUGGGACUGAGACACGGCCCAAACUCCUACGGGAGGCAGCAGUGGGGAAUAUUGCACAAUGGGGGAAACCCUGAUGCAGCGACGCCGCGUGAGUGAAGAAGUAUUUCGGUAUGUAAAGCUCUAUCAGCAGGGAAGAUAAUGACAGUACCUGACUAAGAAGCCCCGGCUAACUACGUGCCAGCAGCCGCGGUAAUACGUAGGGGGCAAGCGUUAUCCGGAUUUACUGGGUGUAAAGGGAGCGUAGACGGAAUGGCAAGUCUGAAGUGAAAUACCCGGGCUCAACCUGGGAACUGCUUUGGAAACUGUUGUUCUAGAGUGUUGGAGAGGUAAGUGGAAUUCCUGGUGUAGCGGUGAAAUGCGUAGAUAUCAGGAAGAACACCGGAGGCGAAGGCGGCUUACUGGACAAUAACUGACGUUGAGGCUCGAAAGCGUGGGGAUCAAACAGG